AGCAGCCGCGGUAAAUUCCAGCUCCAAUAGCGUAUAUUAAAGUUGUUGCAGUUAAAAAGCUCGUAGUUGAAUUUCGGGGUUAGUAAGUUGGUCAUGCCUUCGGUAUGUACUGGCUUUACUGAUUCCUCCUUCUUGACGAACCGUGAUGUCAUUAAUUUGGUGUUGCGGGAAAUCAGGACUGUUACUUUGAAAAAAUUAGAGUGUUUAAAGCAGGCUAACGCUUGAAUACAUUAGCAUGGAAUAAUGAAAUAGGACGUUAAUCCUAUUUUGUUGGUUUCUAGGAUCGACGUAAUGAUUAAUAGGGAUAGUUGGGGGCAUUAGUAUUCAAUUGUCAGAGGUGAAAUUCUUGGAUUUAUUGAAGACUAACUACUGCGAAAGCAUUUGCCAAGGAUGUUUUCAU
This 400-nucleotide ribosomal RNA is filed under the name uncultured Glomeromycotina. RNAcentral describes it as "SSU rRNA". It matches the Rfam family "Eukaryotic small subunit ribosomal RNA", at positions 569 to 973 of the family's 1831-position model. Lineage: Eukaryota; Fungi; Glomeromycota. The record is from RNAcentral.